Molecule: non-coding RNA, 240 nt
Organism: Pelobates cultripes (western spadefoot toad)
Lineage: Eukaryota; Metazoa; Chordata; Amphibia; Anura; Pelobatidae
Source: the annotation of a GenBank genome assembly
AUUUGAGAUAGGUAACAGGAGAGUUUGGAGAUUAGUGGGAAAAUGCUCUAGGUCAAGACAUUGGAGGUUUCUGUGAGAGUGAUGUUCAGACGGUGGUGUCAAUUGGGUCUUGGGUAUGCCAAUGUCAAAAGUCAGCAGAUGGUGGUCAGAAAAGGAAUAUUGGAGAGAUUAGAGGCAGUACAGAGGUUGGUGAAGGCGAGAUCAAGAGUGUUUCCCGCUGUAUGGGUUGCUAAAUUGGAC